GACGAACGCUGGCGGCGUGCUUAACACAUGCAAGUCGAACGGUGAAGGGACCAGCUUGCUGGUUCUGGAUGAGUGGCGAACGGGUGAGUAACACGUGAGUAACCUGCCCCCUUCUUCUGGAUAACCGCAUGAAAGUGUGGCUAAUACGGGAUAUUCUGGGUCUGUCGCAUGGCGGGCCCGGGAAAGAUAUUGCUUCGGUGGGGGAUGGGCUCGCGGCCUAUCAGCUUGUUGGUGGGGUGAUGGCCUACCAAGGCGGUGACGGGUAGCCGGCCUGAGAGGGGGGACGGUCACACUGGGACUGAGACACGGCCCAGACUCCUACGGGAGGCAGCAGUGGGGAAUAUUGCACAAUGGGCGCAAGCCUGAUGCAGCGACGCCGCGUGAGGGAUGGAGGCCUUCGGGUUGUAAACCUCUUUCGCCAGUGAAGCAGGCCUGCUCCGUGUGGGUGGGUUGACGGUAGCUGGAUAAGAAGCGCCGGCUAACUACGUG
This 489-nucleotide ribosomal RNA is filed under the name uncultured bacterium. Its description in RNAcentral is "partial 16S ribosomal RNA". It matches the Rfam family "Bacterial small subunit ribosomal RNA", at positions 28 to 507 of the family's 1533-position model. The record is from RNAcentral.